GAUUAAUUAAAUUUAAAAAGGAUUUAAAGUCACGAAAUAACUUGCGCAACAUACUAUUUUAUAUUAGGUAAUAUAUUAAUUGUUGCAAAAAUUAUAAAAAAGUAGUAUUUUGGGGUGAUAGGCCAACAAAAGUUAAGAUAUCUUGAUCCUUUAAAAAGUAUACAGUACAUAGACAAACAAGUAGUGGUUAGGCUUCUUGUAAAUAUUAAAUUAAUUUAAUAUAUCUAUUGAUUUAAAUACCUUUAGAACUACAAAAUAAAAUUAAUUUUUAAUAUAAUUAUAUAAAAUUUCUAGGUACUAAUAAUUCAUAAAAUAGUUGAUUAUGUUUAUAUUAGUAAUUAAAUAGAUAUUUAAAAAGAACUCGGCAAAACUCCCACUCAACUGUUUAUCAAAAACGUAACUAUAUGAAAUAAUAUAUAGCUAUUUCUGCACAAUGUAAUUAUAAAUUGCCGCAGUACUCUGACUGUGCUAAGGUAGCAUAAUCAAUUGGCCCAUAAUUGGGGUCUAGAAUGAAUGAAAUUAUGAGUGGGGACUGUUUCUUAGAUAAUUAAUUAACUUACUUACCAAGUGAAAAUUCUUGUAAAAAAAUAAUAGACGAGAAGACCCUAGAAAUUUUUAUGAAAUGUUCAAAUUUAAUUUUUGUUGGGGCGACAAAAUAACAAAUAACUUAUUUUAGUUAAUAUUACCUUUAUAAAAAUAAAAUGCAAAUUACUCUAGGGAUAACAGCAUAAUAUUUUAAAGUUUGUGACCUCGAUGUUGGACUAGGAUUAAAUAGUCUAAAA
Molecule: ribosomal RNA, 782 nt
Filed under: Landouria omphalostoma
Lineage: Eukaryota; Metazoa; Mollusca; Gastropoda; Stylommatophora; Camaenidae
Description: partial 16S ribosomal RNA
Source: RNAcentral